GUGCCAGCAGCCGCGGUAAGACGUAGGUGGCGAACGUUAUCCGGAAUUAUUGGGCGUAAAGGGUGCGUAGAUGGCCUGAUAAGUUAGCAGUGGGAAAUCGAGGCUCAACCUCGUGGAAGCUGGUAAUACUGUCAGGCUCGAGUGCAGGAGAGGUUAACGGAACUCCAUGUGGAGCGGUAAAAUGUGUAGAUAUAUGGAAGAACACCAAUAACGGCGAAGGCAGUUAACUAUUCUGUUACUGACAUUGAGGCACGAAAGCGUGGGGAGCAAAACGGAUUAGAUACCCGUGUAGUCCACGCCCUAAACGAUGAGUGCUAGAUAUUGGGAACUUGAUUCUCAGUGUCGCUAGAUAACUCGGUAAGCACUCCGCCUGGGUAGUACGCUCGCAAGAGUGAAACUCAAAGGAAUUGACGG
RNAcentral lists this ribosomal RNA (414 nucleotides) under uncultured bacterium. RNAcentral describes it as "bacterial SSU rRNA". It matches the Rfam family "Bacterial small subunit ribosomal RNA", at positions 505 to 916 of the family's 1533-position model. The record is from RNAcentral.